Amborella trichopoda is the source of this 3978-nucleotide non-coding RNA. Lineage: Eukaryota; Viridiplantae; Streptophyta; Magnoliopsida; Amborellales; Amborellaceae. The record is from RefSeq and is a predicted model, not a curated record.
UGGGGAAGACGCAUGGACAGAUUGGGGGCCCUCUCAAGACAUUGCCUCCAAACGGGUCAUGUCCAACGUCCUCAAUGCAGAAAAGCCCGGUUGGACUGGCAACAGGCUGGGUUGGAGCCAUUGUUAAAAAAACCGGGUGAUCUAACUGGUGGCCACCCGGUUAGGUCGUGGUUCCGAGCGGUUUCAGUGUUUGGCUCGUAUUUUAAAAAUAAAAAUUCAAAAAAAUGUUUAAAAUCCCAAAAAUAAAGAAUUUGAUUUGUAAUAUAUUUUUUAAUAUUUUUUACAUUAUGGUAAAUAUUAAAAAUUAUUUGGUCAUUAAUGCUUACUUUUAAAUUCCAUUUUUUUUAUUAAUUUUCAAUUUCAUUUAAAUACGUUUUGUUUUAAUUAUUUUUUAUAUGCUUUUUAUAUUUGAGUAGAUUUUUUUUUACACCUCUUUGAUUUUUUUCAACAAUUUUUUGGCCACUUGGGACUUGCUCGAUUAGAACAGUUGGUGAAUCUGCCGGUUUACCAAUUAAGCCGAUUAAACUGCUCCCAGCCCAUGUCCGGUUAAGUAUUUCGGUUCCAUUUUACGAACACUGGUUUGAGCCAAGCUAGACUUGGCCAAGGUCAAGAGGUUCGGCUAGGAUUAGGUUGAAGGGCCUUCACCAAAGCCUGGCAUAGGGCCUUCAUUAAGUGGCCGGGCCAGUCCUAGCCCCAUAGAAUUUAACUAAGGAACCACAAAAAACAAAAAGAGUGGAUAGGCGAGUAGUGGUCCCAGGCCCAGGCCGGGCUUGAGGGAGUUUUUAAGGGCUAGGCUGCCCGUUCAGUUGCUAUUAGUAUUUUAUUAUAGUAUAGUACUAUUGUAUAGUUCAAAAUCAAGAAAAAAAAAAGUUUGUGGAUUUUAGUCAUUGAAUGAAGAGUGGUGUGUGAAAAGAGUGGUAUUAAUAUAAAAACACUUUCAUGCCUUUUAUUAAUGGAACAAAAAAAAGAGUAUGGACAUAUAUGCGGAGCAUACAAAGCAUACCACAUACGUGUGUGUGAGAGGGUGCAAGGGCGCAUUGGUUUAACUUUGCAUUUCGUACACUGAUAUCGGUUCAACUUUGCAUUUCACACACUCGUAUCAAUACUAUAGUUCAACUUUGCAUUUCGUACACUCAUAUCAGCGCCAUGGUUCAAUUUUGCAUUUCGCAUACUCAUAUCAGUGCCAUGGUUUGACUUUGCACUUUACAAACUCAUAUCAAUGCCUGAGAUAACAGUUGGUUCAACUUUGAACUUUACAAACUCGCAUCAGCCUGAGAUAACCAUUGGAACUCGCAUCAGUGCUUGAGAUAACCGUUGGAUGGAGACAGUUGGGUCACAUGUAAUGUGGAUUUUUUACUCCGUACCUCCUUUUUACUAUUUCAAAUUUUCUCUUUCUCAAUAUUUUCUUAUUGACUUUAUCUCUCUAAAAAUAAAAAAAUGGGCCACUUUCCCUCUUUAAAUUCAGACAAAUCUGGUGGUAUGUAAAUUUGCCCAUACUGUACAAAAUUAGGCUAGUGAGUAUUAUCAGUGACCUUCUAUUUACUAUUCGGAGCAUUGAUUUAUCUGGGUUAUAUUUUGGACGCUAUUAUUCUACAGUACGGAGGUAAAUUGCAGUAUUGAGAGAGCGCAAGCAUGAAUUCCAUCAAAGUUAUGAAUCAAGAUUUUGUAAUAUGCGAUCAGUUUCGUGAGACAAAAUUAUGCCAGAGUUGUGAUCCCAAAUGAAGAAGUGGACCAUUAUAUAUAUGAGGGUCAUACUCUCAACACACUUACCGAGCCAAUCUAUGAAAUGAAUUGCUCGGUGGCAUCGGUGAGCGAACUUUAGCAAAUGUUGGAGACAAAGUACUCAAUGGAAGAAUCGGGUAAUCAAUGUUUCUUACUUUCGAAUUAUUUGGAGUUUAAGUUCACCGUUAACAAAGUAAUACUCAACUUAGUAUAUGAGUUGCAACUUGUGGUAAGUGAACUCAAAGUUUGUGGUAUUGAACUUCAUGAAGUAUUUCAAGUAAGGAUUAUUAUUCAUAAGUUAUCCCCGCUUUAAAAGAAUAAUAAAAGAAGAUGAAACACAAAAAGGUUGAUAUUGAUUUAGUUCAACUUCAAUGAACUCUUCGCAUAGAGAAAGAGUUUUGGAUUUGAGAAAAGAAAGGGGAAGUAAUGGAAUAUAAUUCUAAAACUAAUCUUGUAGAGCAAAAGUCAAAGGACAUGGCUCAAAACACUGAAAGGCCCUUCUCUUUUAAGAAUCAAAAGGACAGAUCAAAAAUCCAAAAAGAAGAAGGGUGUUUUCUUUGUCUAUGGAGAAACCGGCCACUAUUCAAAGGAAUGUCCACACCGCAGAAGGCCUCAAAACCCUCAAUGUCAAGUAAACAAAACCACUCAUGAGAAUUUGGUUCCAAAGGUCACUAAAAUUAAUAUGGUUGAUAACGAGGAAGGUUGGUGGAUAGACGCUGAUGCUACCAUCGAUGUGACCAAUAACUGGAAUUUCUUUAAGACAUAUGAACCAGCGGUAGAUGGGAAUUAAGUUCAAUUGGGAACUCAAGCACUCAUAGCGGGACAAUUGAAUUUGACGUUCAAUUUGGGAAAAUAUUGACUUUAAAAAAUGUGUACUAUAUACUUAGACAUGAGAAAAAUUUGGUGUCAGGAUAUUUGUUGAAUAAAAAGGGAUUCAAAAUGAUCAUUGGAUUUGACAAGAUUAUUUUUUACUAAAAUUGCUCUCUUGUGGGGAGGGGAUGUAAUGGAAUGUUCAAACUUUAUUAGAUAAAUGAAAUAAAGAAUAUUUUUGUUGAAAUUGUGAGUUCUUUUCUAUGGCAUGCUAGAUUACGAUAUUUAAAUUUUACUGCAAUAAAAUUUGUUUUAAAGGUAGGCCUUAUUUCUAGUUGUGAUGAUAUAUCUAAUGAAAAGUGUGAGUCUUGUGUACAAGCAAAAAUUACUAGAAAACACUUUUAGUAGAAAGAAAUAUUGAAUUGUUAGGACUCAUACAGAGUGAUAUAUGUGAAUUAAAUAAUAUUUUCACAAGAGGUGGAAAAAGCUAUUUUAUUACUUUCAUAGAUGAUUUUUCACGUUAUACAUAUAUUUAUUUGUUAAUAAGAAAAUAAAGAUAUUGAGAUGUGAUAGUGGUGGAUAAUACUUAUCUAAUAAAUUAAUUUUUUUUGGUGAAAAUAAUGAAAUAAUCCAUCAAGUUACUGCUCCAUAUAGCCAUCAACAAAAUGAAUUUUUUUUUGGUAGUUCAAUUGUAGGAAUAAGCUUGAGAUCUAGUAUUGCUAAAGUCAUUAGCUAACUACUUAAGUCCAAACCCCAAUUCCUAACAACAAAAUGGUUUGUAGAAAGAAAAAUAGAACAUUGGUGGAAAUGGUUAAUUUCAUGUUAAUAAAUUGAGGUUUAAUUCUAAAUUUAUGAAGUGAAGCCUGGUUAUUGGCUUGUGUGAUAAUUAAUAGAAUUCCAUAUAUAAAAAGUUAAUAAAACCCCAUAUAGGUUAUGGUUUAUUAAAAAAACCUUCUUUAAAGUUUCUCAAAGUAUAGGGAUGUCUAGCAUAUGUGAGGCUCGUUGAUCUUAUAAGACAUAAACUUGAACCUAGAGCCACUAAGUGUAUAUUUUUAAGAUAUGCUCAAAAAGUAAAGCAUAGAGGUUUUUAGAACUUAGUACAAAUACAACAAUAGGAUCAAGUGAUGGAGAGUUCUUUAAAAAUCCAACGCAUAAAAUGAACCUGAAAAUACUAAUGUUCUACCGACGGGUGAAUAAUUAAUAAUAUUAGAUUCACCAAAUUUUUAUACAAUAUGGUGAAGAAUUAAUAAGAUUAGAUUCACCAAUUAACCUGAAAAUGCUAAUGCAUACAAUGGUAAAUUCAGACACAUUACAUCCAGACAUAACUUCAUACAAAAAUUAAUAAAAGAUGGAGUGGUGAGUCUAGAAUUUGUGAAGUCAAAGGAAAAUUUAGUCAAUUCCUUGACAAAAGGCCUUGCAAGGAAUGACAUUGCAAAAUGUCAAGGA